RNAcentral lists this ribosomal RNA (300 nucleotides) under uncultured Loktanella sp. RNAcentral's name for it is "bacterial SSU rRNA". It matches the Rfam family "Bacterial small subunit ribosomal RNA", at positions 496 to 795 of the family's 1533-position model. Lineage: Bacteria; Pseudomonadati; Pseudomonadota; Alphaproteobacteria; Rhodobacterales; Roseobacteraceae. The record is from RNAcentral.
GGGAACUAGUGUGCAGGGGCCGGUGUAAUACGUGGUGGGCGGGCGUUGGCGGGAAUGAUUAGGCGUAAAGGGCUUGGUGGCGGUUUGUCGCGUCUGCUGUGAAAAUCCGGGGCUCAACCCCGGACUUGCAGUGGGUACGGGCAGACUAGAGUGUGGUAGGGGAGACUGGAAUUCCUGGUGUAGCGGUGAAAUGCGCAGAUAUCAGGAGGAACACCGAUGGCGAAGGCAGGUCUCUGGGCCACUACUGACGCUGAGAAGCGAAAGCAUGGGGAGCGAACAGGAUUAGAUACCCGUGUAGUC